RNAcentral lists this ribosomal RNA (489 nucleotides) under Hylodes phyllodes (Boraceia tree toad). RNAcentral describes it as "partial small subunit ribosomal RNA". It matches the Rfam family "Bacterial small subunit ribosomal RNA", at positions 838 to 1521 of the family's 1533-position model. Lineage: Eukaryota; Metazoa; Chordata; Amphibia; Anura; Hylodidae. The record is from RNAcentral.
GCUCGAUCGUAAACUUUAAAUUACUUUCCCAUCGCCAGAGAACUACGAGCAAAGCUUAAAACUCAAAGGACUUGACGGUACCCCAUAUCCCCCUAGAGGAGCCUGUCCUAUAAUCGAUAAUCCCCGUUAAACCUCACCACUUUUAGCCUCUCAGCCUGUAUACCUCCGUCGUCAGCUUACCACGUGAGCGAAACUUAGUGAGCCUAAUGUCCACACGCCCACACGUCAGGUCAAGGUGCAGUAAAUGAAGUGGCAAGAGAUGGGCUACACUUUCUAUAAUAGAAUACACGAAAGACCACAUGAAAACCGGUCAAAAGGCGGAUUUAGUAGUAAAAGAAAACCAGAGUGUUUUUUUAAAUUCGGCACUGGGGUGUGUACACACCGCCCGUCACCCUCUUCAAAGCUCAAUCCUAGUAUUUAACCACCUAGUGCCCCUCAGAAGAGGCAAGUCGUAACAUGGUAAGUAUACCGGAAGGUGUGCUUGGUAAA